AGUGAACGCUGGCGGCGUGCCUAAUACAUGCAAGUCGAACGGAGAUUCAGUAGCUUGCUAUUUAAUCUUAGUGGCGCACGGGUGAGUAAUAUAUAGCUAACUUGCCCAUUACUAAGGGACAACAGUUGGAAACGACUGCUAAUACCUUAUACUCCGUAUCUAUAUAAGUAGAUACGGGAAAGUUUUUCGGUAAUGGAUAGGGCUAUAUCGUAUCAGCUAGUUGGUAAGGUAAUGGCUUACCAAGGCUAUGACGCGUAACUGGUCUGAGAGGAUGAUCAGUCACACUGGAACUGAGACACGGUCCAGACUCCUACGGGAGGCAGCAGUAGGGAAUAUUGCUCAAUGGGGGAAACCCGGAAGCAGCAACGCCGCGUGGAGGAUGACACUUUUCGGAGCGUAAACUCCUUUUCUUGGGAAAGAAUUAUGACGGUACCCAAGGAAUAAGCACCGGCUAACUCCGUG
Molecule: ribosomal RNA, 462 nt
Filed under: uncultured bacterium
Lineage: Bacteria
Description: partial 16S ribosomal RNA
Rfam family: Bacterial small subunit ribosomal RNA
Source: RNAcentral